GUCCACGCUGUAAACGAUGGACACUAGGUGUGGGGGGUAUUGACCCCCUCCGUGCCGCAGCAAACGCGAUAAGUGUCCCGCCUGGGGAGUACGGCCGCAAGGCUAAAACUCAAAGGAAUUGACGGGGGCCCGCACAAGCAGCGGAGCGUGUGGUUUAAUUCGACGCAACGCGAAGAACCUUACCAAGGCUUGACAUGCUGGUAGUACCGACCUGAAAAGGAAGGGACCCUUCGGGGAGCCAGUGCAGGUGAUGCAUGGCUGUCGU
Molecule: ribosomal RNA, 265 nt
Filed under: uncultured bacterium
Lineage: Bacteria
Description: partial 16S ribosomal RNA
Rfam family: Bacterial small subunit ribosomal RNA
Source: RNAcentral